ACCAUCUUCACCUGGAGCCCCCUGCAGAGUCCCAUUAUACUUGCACUCAGAACCCUCCAACAAGCCCCGUGCAUCCAGAUUGGAUCUCACAGAG
This is a long non-coding RNA of Gopherus evgoodei (Goodes thornscrub tortoise), 94 nucleotides long. RefSeq lists it as uncharacterized. The record is from RefSeq and is a predicted model, not a curated record. The transcript is spliced from 3 exons. Lineage: Eukaryota; Metazoa; Chordata; Testudines; Testudinidae.